UUUCUAUUUUUUGAUGGUUGUUGUUUUCACAAGGCUGGAGAUGAGAUCCUCUCUGUCAAUAAUUUGAUUUUAAAUGAAGCGACACAUGAGGAGGUUGUCAAUCUACUAAGAUCAAGACGAGUAUUGGUUUUAAAAGUUAAAAGUACAGGGAAAGUCCCUUGUAAAAUACUUGAUUGUAUCAGAUGGGAAGAAGUACAGGACAAAGAGAAUGUCUACUAUCACCCUGACCUACUGGUAA
Exaiptasia diaphana is the source of this 238-nucleotide long non-coding RNA. RefSeq lists it as uncharacterized. NCBI's taxonomy places the organism in Eukaryota, Metazoa, Cnidaria, Anthozoa, Actiniaria, Aiptasiidae. The record is from RefSeq and is a predicted model, not a curated record. The transcript is spliced from 3 exons.